UGGUUUAUUCGACGCAACGCGCAGACCUUACCAGCCUUGACAUCCCGGUGCGGUUCCAGAGAUGGAUCCUUCAGUUCGCUGGACCGGAGACAGGUGCUGCAUGCUGUCGUCAGCUCGUGUCGUGAGAUGUGGGUUAAGUCCCGCAACGAGCGCAACCCCGUCUUUAAUGCUACCAUUUAUUGAGCACUCUAAAGAGACUGCCGGUGAUAAGCCGGAGGAAGGUGGGGAUGACGUCAAGUCCUCAUGGCCCUUACGGGCUGGGCUACACACGUGCUACAAUGGCGGUGACAGAGGGACGCAAAGGCGCAAGCUUCGCAAAUCUCAAAAAGCCGUCUCAGCUCGGAUUGGGCUCUGCAACUCGAGCCCAUGAAGUGGAAUCGCUAGUAAUCGCAGAUCAGAUGCUGCGGUGAAUACGUUCCCGGGCCUUGAACACACCGCCCGUC
RNAcentral lists this ribosomal RNA (443 nucleotides) under uncultured Bradyrhizobium sp. RNAcentral's name for it is "bacterial SSU rRNA". It matches the Rfam family "Bacterial small subunit ribosomal RNA", at positions 942 to 1398 of the family's 1533-position model. Lineage: Bacteria; Pseudomonadati; Pseudomonadota; Alphaproteobacteria; Hyphomicrobiales; Nitrobacteraceae. The record is from RNAcentral.